CAUUGGCGAAGGAGUAUGCCUUAAUUCUCAGUG
Molecule: non-coding RNA, 33 nt
Filed under: unclassified sequences
Source: RNAcentral